AUUAUCUAAAACUCGACUGAAUCUCAUUAUCGGAUUAAGAUUGUUAAUACCAUUAUAUUUGUUUGUUGCAUUUUAUAUAAUGAUUUAUGGGGAGAGGAUCAAACUGAUGAACUUCUUCUAGAGAUUGAUAAAGAACUUCGAAAUGUUUCUCCAGACGAACAAAGUACAUGUAACUUUAGGGACAGUACUGAGGAAAUGA
Molecule: long non-coding RNA, 199 nt
Filed under: Carica papaya (papaya)
Lineage: Eukaryota; Viridiplantae; Streptophyta; Magnoliopsida; Brassicales; Caricaceae
Description: long non-coding RNA (CPAP_LNC000723)
Source: RNAcentral